Molecule: ribosomal RNA, 245 nt
Filed under: uncultured bacterium
Lineage: Bacteria
Description: partial 16S ribosomal RNA
Rfam family: Bacterial small subunit ribosomal RNA
Source: RNAcentral
UGAGGAACAUGACUUUCGGCGGGGAUAGCCGGCCCAACGGCCGGGUAAUACCGCGUACGACCCAAUGGAGACACCUCCGCUGGGUGAAAGCAGCAAUGCACCGAAAGAGUGCCUCGCGGCCUAUCAGCUAGUUGGUGGGGUAACGGUUCACCAAGGCGACGACGGGUAGCUGGUCUGAGAGGGAUGGCCAGCCACAUUGGGACUGAGACAUCGGCCCAGACCUCCCGUACGGGGGACGGACGACG